This is a long non-coding RNA of Spinacia oleracea (spinach), 1642 nucleotides long. RefSeq lists it as uncharacterized. The transcript has 5 exons. Lineage: Eukaryota; Viridiplantae; Streptophyta; Magnoliopsida; Caryophyllales; Amaranthaceae. The record is from RefSeq and is a predicted model, not a curated record.
UUUAAAUCGAAUUGGAUAGUAAACUCUAGUUUUUAUUGCAGUGCUUCCAAUUGCACUGAAAUUUAUUUGCUUUAGUUGAACUAUUUGGAAGUCUGGUAAAGACCUUGAGAAGUUGAAGAAGAUUGGAGAAGUAGCUUUGGAUCACUCAGAUGAACGUGCCUUAGGUCUUCAUUUGCUUCAUUUUUCAGAGAUUGUUGAAGAAGCUUGUAGCAAUCUCUUGCCGAAUGUGCUGUGUGAGUACCUGUAUAACUUGUCAGAAUUUUUCACAAAGUUCUACCCCAACUGUCAGGUGGUUGGCUCACCAGAAGAAACAAGCUGACUGUUGUUAUGUGAAGCAACUGCGGUGGUAAUGAGAACAUGUUUUAAUCUUCUUGGUAUUACCCCAGUCUACCAAAUAUGACAAGUUAAUUGCAAUUGUUGCAGUAUUUAUAGUGGGCAUUAACAAUAUUGAAAUUCGUUAUUGAGUUUACCAGUAUACAGUUGUCUGGUUAUGUUUUCAUAUUUAUGUAAAAUCUUUAUGUUACAUUGUUGCUUAUUUCCAUCCAUUUACUUCUUUUUUCCUUAAAGCUUUCUCAUAUAUAAUGUUUGUUGCUGUUAUAAUAGAGAAAAAAAAUCAUUCACCGUGAAUUGAAGUCAUCCAACAUUCUCAUAAAUGUGAAUUUAAAGGCCAAAGUUGCCGAUUUUGGAUUUACAAGAGUUGGUCCUGCUGAUGGUGGUCAAACUCAUAUUUCAACCAAGGUCAAAGGGACUGGAAUAUCUUGAUCUAGAGUACAUGAAGACCUAUUAAAUCACCCCAAAAAGUGAUGUCUACCCUUAUGGGAUUUUGCUUUUGGGAUUCUGACUGGACGUCGUCCUAUGGAACCCAAAAGACCUAUUGACGAGAGGGUAACCAUCAGAUGGCAACCAGCUGUCCCUGGAGCUUUGUUUGAAGAGAAACCACAAUCUGCCAAUGAUGCUUGGAGGAAACUCCAUUCGGAGUUGAAGAGACAUACUUCAUUACUCCACAUUAUUAAUCUUCUUGAAAUGUCAGCGCAACACAAAGCAGGCAACAAGCAGCUAACUUCCUCGAGUCUCAUGUUACAAUAUGAGUUUUGAUGAUCAGGAUAUUUUCUGUGAUUGCAAUAUGCUUCUGGAUGAGCUUUCUUCUCCAAGUAAGAUGCGGUGACUCAAACUGUCGCUAUUCGUGAAUAUGAGAAACCUUGUAAAGCUUUACUUUAGUUGAUAAAAUUUGUGCUCAAAAGUGCAGCCGUCUUGGACAAAUUAGUUAUUUUCUACAACAAGAAGGAUGAACUUUAUUCAUCAGAGGAAUACGAGUUCAUUUUGCAGUUAUCAGGCUUUCCAAGAGCCUCGCGGAAGGCAAAGGUUGUCUUUGCUUGAGAAAUAUAGUAAUGCUAAUACUUUGUAUUUAGUAACUCAUAGCUAGGUGCGUAGGUGCAUCGUGGGUGUUUAUAAUUACUCCUUAGAUGAUAUCUUUUGUUUAGGAGAUAGGACCCCUAUUGCAAAAUUCAGUGUUGCUGCUACUGGUAGUGGCCUAGUGUUAAAAUCAGAGAUUGUUAGGAAAAUGGUUCCAUUGUAGUGAUUUUGGUUCUUCAAAUUGUAGUCAGAUGCGGUUUUUAAAAUAUAAUCAAGGGGUAAUUCUUUC